AGGCAGGUGGCACCAAUGUGCAGCCAUAGCAGCUGUUUGAUCAACUAUAAGUGAAUGGUCUUUAUACACAGAAAAUUCCCACGCAAGUAGCUGCAACCUGAGUAUCACAGUAUCGUGCUAGUGUGUGCAGAAGAACUACGGCGUUACUACAUCUUGAAAUGGAACCCGCUGGCCUGUUUCAGUUGCCCAGGUUGCACAGAGAAUGCGGACCAGAGCAUUCGGCUACUCAUAAAUUUGUAACAGCACCUUCCUCCAGGCAAAUAUUAAAUAUCUUCGCCUACUAUGUUAG
Long non-coding RNA from Mauremys reevesii (Reeves's turtle), 289 nucleotides. RefSeq lists it as uncharacterized. Lineage: Eukaryota; Metazoa; Chordata; Testudines; Geoemydidae. The transcript is spliced from 3 exons. The record is from RefSeq and is a predicted model, not a curated record.